CAAAAAAAAGGACUGGCAUUUUAAAAGCCGUGUAGGGAACAAAGCACUAAGGUACAAAAAGAUUGCACAAGAAGUGUCAGAGUCACGAAAUGAGUUCAUGCAGAGGGUAAAGACAAAGCAAGUGCCAGAACAACUAUCCAGUCGGAAGAGGCAAAGACGGUGUGAACAGUGUCCAGGAUGCAUUAGUACAGACUGCAAUCAAUGUAAGUUUUGUUUGGACAAGCCUAAGAAUGGUGGACCAUGCAGGAAUUAAGAAACAGUGCUGCAUCAAACGCAAGUGCAUUCGUACUGCAAAAGCAGAAGCUGAUGUGGCAAAUGUUAUUUCAAGACUAUACACCAUUUUAGUGGUGCAGCUUCAACACCACAACUUGAAGUGCAAGAAAAGGGGAAAGUAUCAGAAAAGGAAUUUUGUGAUGGUUAUUUCAGGUCUUGCCCGGGAUUUGUGAAGCUACCCAAUGCAGAUUUUGCAGAUAUUCCUGUCCCUCCGCAAUAUGUUCCAAGUUCAGGUGGGCUUUACUCAACACAUGAGGUAAUGGUACGGAGUUACAGACGCCAG
Halichondria panicea is the source of this 556-nucleotide long non-coding RNA. RefSeq lists it as uncharacterized. Lineage: Eukaryota; Metazoa; Porifera; Demospongiae; Suberitida; Halichondriidae. The record is from RefSeq and is a predicted model, not a curated record. The transcript has 5 exons.